UACGUAGGGAGCGAGCGUUGUCCGGAAUUACUAGGCGUAAAGGGCAGGCAGGCGGAUCCAUAAGUUUAUCGUUUAAGGCGUCGGCUUAACCGGCGUAGGGCGGUAGAUACUGUGGAUCUGGAAUGCGGUUGGGGAAGACAGAAUUCCUGGUGUAGCGGUGGAAUGCGCAGAGAUCAGGAGGAAUACCGAAGGCGAAGGCAGUCUUCCAAGCCGUUAUUGACGCUCAACUGCGAAGGUGUGGGUAUCAAACAGGAUUAGAUACCCGCGUAGUCCCUGA
Molecule: ribosomal RNA, 277 nt
Filed under: uncultured prokaryote
Description: partial 16S ribosomal RNA
Rfam family: Bacterial small subunit ribosomal RNA
Source: RNAcentral